Molecule: ribosomal RNA, 458 nt
Filed under: uncultured bacterium
Lineage: Bacteria
Description: partial 16S ribosomal RNA
Rfam family: Bacterial small subunit ribosomal RNA
Source: RNAcentral
CCUACGGGCGGCAGCAGUGAGGAAUAUUGGUCAAUGGCCGGAAGGCUGAACCAGCCAUGCCGCGUGAAGGUCAGGGCCCUAGGGGCGUUAAACUUCUUUUGUGCGGGAGCAAUAAUGGUCACGUGUGGCCAGACGAGAGUACCGUACGAAUAAGCAUCGGCUAACUCCGUGCCAGCAGCCGCGGUAAUACGUAGGGGGCAAGCGUUAUCCGGAAUUAUUGGGCGUAAAGAGUACGUAGGCGGUUCUUUAAGCGUAGGGUCUAAGGCGAUGGGUUAACCAUCGUUCGCCCUGUGAACUGGAGGACUUGAGUAUCGGAGAGGAAAGCGGAAUUCCUAGUGUAGCGGUGAAAUGCGUAGAUAUUAGGAGGAACACCAGUGGCGAAGGCGGCUUUCUGGACGAAAACUGACGCUGAGGUACGAAAGCGUGGGGAGCAAACAGGAUUAGAUACCCGUGUAGUC